GGUUGUUUCUUGUGGAGUUUCUUGUGAGCUUACAGCCUGUAACAAGCACAAGAAAAAUAUGGAAUGCCUGAAUGUGGGAGCCUACUUUUCUUUUCUGAAAGGUUUCUGCUCUGCUGUUUUAUCAAGUCCGUACAUACAGAGAUCUGUAGAUUGAUGUUUCCUCUCUUUAGUCUGAGAAAUUAAGGUGAAGAUGAAGACUUAAGGGAAAUGGAGGCUUCUUAGGACUAGACAGGCAAAAUACCAGUCUAAGAAGACGGGACUGAUUUAAUACAGAAGUUACAUAACUUAAUAAAUAUGCAUCUUUAUGAAUGCUAAUCUCUUGCAAUCAAUGUUAUCAGUCAUCUCACUGUAUCCAAAAGUGUGAUUGAUCUAACUGGUGGGUGUGUGUGUGUCACACAUACACAGAGCUUACUUCAUGGGUUGUAGCUCCUGUCAGGAAAUAUCUAGCUUAUCAAACAUGGAAUCUUACAUCAGAAAUGUGAAAUACUUGCUGCACAUAUUGUGGCCUCCACAGAGUACUUGGGAAUAUCUGCUCUGUAACACCUGGAACGCCUUCUGUGAUUUUGUGAUCAUUAGAUUUUUGACACUUCUCAUUACGCAUUUAGCAGUUUCUGCACUUCCUUAAAUGUGUUUCCACAGAGGUGCUGCUGAUGUGAUUGGUAGGCUUAAGUAGAACCGACUGUGUCUUCUCACAGAAGCAAUCCAUGCAGCCCCCUAGUGCCAACACCUUGCCCCCAGACUCCCAAAGCAGUAUUAUAUCAGGCAGUCUUAGUGCAGCAACAGCUGUUUUUACAGAAAGAUAAGUGCAUUUGAAAACUGGAAGCAUCUUUAGAAACUUUUACAAAGUGUUUACUAAUGCCAUUAAUAAUGUCAGUAUCUUGUCACUGAUAAAAUCUUUUGUAUGUUGGUUAAGGUUUCUAGUAGUAAUCGAGAGUAACUUGAGCAGAAAAUGAUGACGUGAAGUACAAGAGUCUUAAA
Lagopus leucura (white-tailed ptarmigan) is the source of this 978-nucleotide long non-coding RNA. RefSeq lists it as uncharacterized. The record is from RefSeq and is a predicted model, not a curated record. The transcript is spliced from 3 exons. NCBI's taxonomy places the organism in Eukaryota, Metazoa, Chordata, Aves, Galliformes, Phasianidae.